UACGAAGGGGGCUAGCGUUGUUCGGAAUUACUGGGCGUAAAGGGCGCGUAGGCGGCUGUGCAAGUCAGGUGUGAAAGCCCUGGGCUCAACCCAGGAUGUGCACUUGAUACUGCACGGCUAGAGUGUCGGAGAGGAUGGUGGAAUUCCACGUGUAGCGGUGAAAUACGUAGAGAUGUGGAGGAACACCGAUGGCGAAGGCAGCCUCCUGGGCCAACACUGACGCUCAUGCACGAAAGCGUGGGGAGCAAACAGG
This 253-nucleotide ribosomal RNA is filed under the name uncultured bacterium. RNAcentral's name for it is "partial 16S ribosomal RNA". It matches the Rfam family "Bacterial small subunit ribosomal RNA", at positions 524 to 776 of the family's 1533-position model. The record is from RNAcentral.